UGUUAUUCUUAUAGAUAAAUUCUGCAUGCAAUAUGCAAGUGUGGAGAUCAUGAUGUUUUAAUUGUAAUUGGGCAACAAAAUCAAAGUAAUUGGUUUCAGUUCCUUUGUAAUCAAUUAAGCAAUUAAAUAGCUCAGAUAUAAAAUGGGGAGAUGGAGAGAGCGCUGCCUUUUGAAGGACUGCACAUGCUGGUGAACUUGACCAGAAUGCAUGCACAUUCAGGCGCUUCUCCUUUAGGGGUGAAAGUGGACCAGAGAUGUGUAAUAUGCAUGUUCUCCAGUUUCCAUGUUGCUGGUAAGCUCAAGGAGAUGAUUUUUGCAAAGCUGUGAUUUAGUAAAGAAGUAAAAACCCUUGACGCUUAUUUAACCAUUAAGGCAACUUCAUUAGAUCAACUUCACCAUUCCUCAACACAACACUGAGGUGGACAAGUCUCUAGAACUGCUGGCAUGGACAUUGGUGAAGUCACCAGGCCAACAGUGGAAGCCAAUACAUUUGUGUCCUUGGUUGACCAUCACGAAAUGGAGCAAGAACUGAGACAUGACUUGACCUGUAGCUCUUUCGACAUAUUGUUCUCAGUUACAUUUAAUAAAAGAACACCUCAUUGAUUAUGCCAUCUACUUCAGUGCACUGGGGGAUGUUGACUGAUACAGAUUGGACCUCGCUUCAACACCCCUCCACCAAUCUGAUUUGAUGCGACUGCUGGUUCUGCAUUACUUGUGUGGGCAAUCCAUCCACAAAGGAUGAUCACAAUUGUUUGACUUAUUUCAAUUGCUGUAAUGCAGAAGUGUCCAAGCUCUAUCCUGGAGGGUCGGUGUCCUGCAGAAUUUAGCUCUAACCCUAUUCAAACACCUGAACCAGCUAAUUGGUAUCUUACUAGAUAUUUCCUAGCAGGUGUUGGAGCUAAACUCAGCAGGACUCCUGUACUGAGGACACCUAUGCUGUAAUGAGUCUCAACUCCAUUCCUGGAGGGCUGCUAUGUUGCACAGUUUUGCUCCAACGCUGAUCUCAUUACACCUUGAUGUGUUUGAUUUAAAGUUGGAGCAAAACUGUGCAGUGCUGCAGCCCUCCAGGAAUGGAGUUUGAGAUUUGUGCUGUAAUAAAGCAUCUUGUAUGGGUUUUUUUUUCUCAACUGUUUUCAAACUAAAUAUCCAAUCUUAAAUUUCACAUGUUAAAGUUAAACAAAAUCAAUACUGAACAUUAUAAAACAAUUUUUUUUUUUUUAAAAUACAAUUGACUAAAGGUGAUUAAAUUACAUUUAAAUUACAUUACACUUCUAAUUACAACAGUAAAGAAAUAAAUUUUAACUCUGCAUUUAAAAAUACUUUUAACAAAUCUAUUUAGAACUUAGUAUUUAUAACUUUUCUUUUAAACUUUUAAACUGAAAAUAACUUUUCCCCUCUCUAAUAAACCAGAAAUUUCUACAAGCGAUAUGAAUCAAUAUGUCUGCUAUUAAACUGCAUGAAUGUUAAUUCGCCCCCAUGGUCUAAGUUAGUUGUGACAUAAUUUCUACCAGAAUAAAAUCCUAAUAUAAUAAGAAUUUAAAAAGCUUAAUAUAAUAUGCAUCAGCUUCUAGAAACACUAUUUGCCUGAGUUAAAACACAACCAAAACUGCUCUAAGCUCCUUUAAGCUCUAUAAGCAAACAACUAUUAAAACCUAGAAAUAGUUAAAUUUGCUUCGGGGUUGGAGAUAACAUUGUGUGUUAGAAUUAAAGAGUUUAGUUGUUAGAUAUAAUCCAGAGUCUUAUACACAUGAGUUUACUUACCUUAAUGGAGGCAGUGCUCUCAAUCUCAACUCCAGCAGGGCCACAUCAGCUCCAAAUCACAGCAGGUGGUCUCGAUCACCUUGAUUAGUUGGAUCAGGUGUGUUUAAUUGUCAGGACUAAUUCAGAGUCUUGUAGACAUGAAUUUGCUAACCUUCAGCCAUCAUCUCUAACUCAACUCCAGCAGGUUCACAUCAGCUCCAAAUCACAGCAGGUGGUCUUGAUCACCUUGAUUAGCUGGAUCAGGUGUG
Danio rerio (zebrafish) is the source of this 2009-nucleotide non-coding RNA. The record is from RefSeq and is a predicted model, not a curated record. Lineage: Eukaryota; Metazoa; Chordata; Actinopteri; Cypriniformes; Danionidae.